This 356-nucleotide ribosomal RNA is filed under the name uncultured Pseudomonas sp. RNAcentral's name for it is "bacterial SSU rRNA". It matches the Rfam family "Bacterial small subunit ribosomal RNA", at positions 1029 to 1382 of the family's 1533-position model. Lineage: Bacteria; Pseudomonadati; Pseudomonadota; Gammaproteobacteria; Pseudomonadales; Pseudomonadaceae. The record is from RNAcentral.
CUGACACAGGUGCUGCAUGGCUGUCGUCAGCUCGUGUCGUGAGAUGUUGGGUUAAGUCCGUAACGAGCGCAACCCUUGUCCUUAGUUUACCAGCACGUUAUGGUGGGCGACUCUAAGGAGACUGCCGGUGACAAACCGGAGGAAGGUGGGGAGUGACGUCAAGUCAUCAUGGCCCUUACGGCCUGGGCUACACACGUGCUACAAUGGUCGGUACAAAGGGUUGCCAAGCCGCGAGGUGGAGCUAAUCCCAUAAAACCGAUCGUAGUCCGGAUCGCAGUCUGCAACUCGACUGCGUGAAGUCGGAAUCGCUAGUAAUCGUGAAUCAGAAUGUCACGGUGAAUACGUUCCCGGGCCUU